UACGUGGGGUGCAAGCGUUGUUCGGAAUUACUGGGCGUAAAGCGUGUGUAGGCGGCUCGUUAAGUCUGAUGUGAAAGCCCUGGGCUCAACCCAGGAAGUGCAUUGGAUACUGGGAGACUUGAAUACGGGAGAGGGUAGUGGAAUUCCUAGUGUAGGAGUGAAAUCCGUAGAUAUUAGGAGGAACACCGGUGGCGAAGGCGGCUACCUGGACCGAUAUUGACGCUGAGACGCGAAAGCGUGGGGAGCAAACAGG
Molecule: ribosomal RNA, 253 nt
Filed under: uncultured bacterium
Lineage: Bacteria
Description: partial 16S ribosomal RNA
Rfam family: Bacterial small subunit ribosomal RNA
Source: RNAcentral